GUUUAAAUCCCCCUCCCUCUCUGUGGCCGAGCUCAUGCCUACAGUCGCCGGGGGAGGGAAGGUCUCUGACCACCAAGCAGGAUAAGAAGACAGAGAGUUAGGAGCGAGAGUGAAUGAAGAACUUUCUCCGAUUGCUGCUUUCUCCAGCUUAUUGCAU
RNAcentral lists this long non-coding RNA (157 nucleotides) under Capra hircus (goat). RNAcentral describes it as "lncRNA (ENSCHIG00010031490.1)". The record is from RNAcentral. Lineage: Eukaryota; Metazoa; Chordata; Mammalia; Artiodactyla; Bovidae.